CCGAAAGUGGACUGAUUUUAAGUUGCCUGUAGAAUGGCAACGCCGGAUUGCAACCACGUAAAAAAGUGCUAAAACCCUGCUU
Molecule: regulatory RNA element, 82 nt
Organism: Mucilaginibacter sp. PPCGB 2223
Lineage: Bacteria; Pseudomonadati; Bacteroidota; Sphingobacteriia; Sphingobacteriales; Sphingobacteriaceae
Source: Rfam